GUGGCUAGAUGAUGGGUAAGCCGUGAGCCCACCUGUCUUUGCCUUGCUUUGCUGCUUAACAGCAACUUGGGACCCCAGAAUAAAGACUGCUACAGCACUUAAGGGAGGAUCUGCAUUUGCCCAGGUUAGGGAAUCAUCAUUAAAGCUUUGCGGGGAGGGGAGGCGCUCUAAAAUGAGAAUCUCCCCGUGACCUUGGUGGUUUGAUUCAUUUGCAGGUUACUGUUCUGAGGGCCGGCAACUCGAAGAGGAGCAGCUCAGCCUGUUUUGUUGAUUUUGGUGAUACUGUUUUGAGGAAGCAGGGGGCCCGUCAGUCAGCUAACAAAGAAGAUGGAACAGCCUAUCCACAUAGGAGAGAGCUGACGUAGGAGAACUGAUAUACGGCAGUGAUAUAUUCAAUGAGAACAUGAGAACUCCUGCUCUGCAGCGGGCUCCGUAAUCGAUGACCAUGGGAUCCAUGCUCUGG
RNAcentral lists this long non-coding RNA (463 nucleotides) under Dromaius novaehollandiae (emu). RNAcentral describes it as "lncRNA (ENSDNVG00000006864.1)". Lineage: Eukaryota; Metazoa; Chordata; Aves; Casuariiformes; Dromaiidae. The record is from RNAcentral.